GUGAGCGAAGCCAGGAAUGGAACCUGCAUCCUCAUGGAGACUAUGUUGAGUUCCUAACCAGGGUUUUGGCGAUGGGUAGUCCAGGAUGGUGAGGGAGCACUGCAUCUGGGGUCUGCAGGAUGAGAUCCAGAUCUUCACUGACUUGCUGGGUGACACCAGCUCGGCACUGUGGGUUACGUCACAAAUGCAGCUUGGAUCUGAUCCCUGGCCCUGGAACUCCAUAUGCCAUGGGGCAGCCAAAAAAGAAAAGAAGAAGAAGAAGAAGAAAAAAGAGGCAGAACCUGUACUUGAUGACCAGGGAGAGAACGAAGUGAAGAACUCGGUCCAGGUUGAUAAUGAGCCUCGCUUAAGUAAGUCUGGGGAAGGGAGAGCAAAUUGUGCAAGGGCUGAAAGGGCAGAGUUUCAGCUGGGGUUUGGGAAUUGGAAGUCAGAGUGUGAGAUAGGCUUUGCAAGCUGGGAGUUAGAAAGGAGCCAGGGCAGAGAAUCAGGGUGGGGGGCCCGAGGAGGAGGACCAGGGAGGACCAGUCAGGCCUCCUGAAGAGUCAGGGUCCCAGAUGCAGCUUUCUGGUGGGGCCCAGACCCAGCAGCAGGAACCAGGGCCUCAAGCACACCUUUGCUCAAAUGAGGGCUCUGAAGGGUGAGGGAGGUCCUGGGAUGGCCCCGGGGGGCCCCACUCCCGCCCCCCACUCCAGGCUUGACUCUGUUGCCAGGAGAUAGUAAAGUGAUCUGUUCUUCUUCCUCUUUCUUCCCCCCCAGGUUCCUUCGCUCCCCCUGCUUUUUGUCAGCAGAUAUAGCACCCAGAACCCCUUCUCUCCAAUGUGGAGAUCCACACAAGGCUGCAAGCAUGGCCAAGACUGGGAUCGCAAAUGAGCCCCGUGUAGAUGGUUCUCCUCUCAAGUACUUCUCUCCUCGCCAGAUUCUAUUUGUGCCCUGAAGCUUGGGCACAACCCCCAGGAGGGUGUCUGUGAAAGACAAAGACUCCAGGUGUCAGGGAUAGAAGAGUCUCAGGGUCGCCUGAUCCCCAUCCCUAUUUUAUGCAGGAGGAAACCAACCCAGAAGGCCACAGAGGCAAAGUCCUAUGGUAAAGCAAGGACUUGAACCUGAGUCCCUGGUGUUCUCCUCUUGAUUGGCCACAGGAAGCACAGAUAACCAUGCAGAGGAGCCCAGGUGGGUGAUGUCUCCAAGAGGGAUUUUUUUCCAGGAUGAAAAAACAGCACAAACUGGAGAUCCUUUCUUGGCUCAGCAGAAACGAAUCUGACUAGGAACCAUGAGGUUGUGGGUUCAAUCCCUGGCCUCAC
Sus scrofa (pig) is the source of this 1298-nucleotide non-coding RNA. The record is from RefSeq and is a predicted model, not a curated record. Lineage: Eukaryota; Metazoa; Chordata; Mammalia; Artiodactyla; Suidae.